GAUGGACCCGCGGCGCAUUAGCUAGUUGGUGAGGUAACGGCUCACCAAGGCGACGAUGCGUAGCCGACCUGAGAGGGUGAUCGGCCACACUGGGACUGAGACACGGCCCUGACUCCUACGGGAGGCAGCAGUAGGGAAUCUUCCGCAAUGGACGAAAGUCUGACGGAGCAACGCCGCGUGAGUGAUGAAGGUUUUCGGAUCGUAAAACUCUGUUGUUAGGGAAGAACAAGUACCGUUCGAAUAGGGCGGCACCUUGACGGUACCUAACCAGAAAGCCACGGCUAACUACGUGCCAGCAGCCGCGGUAAUACGUAGGUGGCAAGCGUUGUCCGGAAUUAUUGGGCGUAAAGCGCGCGCAGCCGGUUUCUUAAGUCUGAUGUGAAAGCCCCCGGCUCAACCGGGGAGGGUCAUUGGAAACUGGGGAACUUGAGUGCAGAAGAGGAGAGUGGAAUUCCACGUGUAGCGGUGAAAUGCGUAGAGAUGUGGAGGAACAC
This 494-nucleotide ribosomal RNA is filed under the name uncultured Bacilli bacterium. RNAcentral describes it as "bacterial SSU rRNA". It matches the Rfam family "Bacterial small subunit ribosomal RNA", at positions 224 to 709 of the family's 1533-position model. Lineage: Bacteria; Bacillati; Bacillota; Bacilli. The record is from RNAcentral.